GAUGAACGCUGGCGGCGUGCCUAAUACAUGCAAGUCGAGCGAACAGACGAGGAGCUUGCUCCUCUGACGUUAGCGGCGGACGGGUGAGUAACACGUGGAUAACCUACCUAUAAGACUGGGAUAACUUCGGGAAACCGGAGCUAAUACCGGAUAAUAUAUUGAACCGCAUGGUUCAAUAGUGAAAGACGGUUUUGCUGUCACUUAUAGAUGGAUCCGCGCUGCAUUAGCUAGUUGGUAAGGUAACGGCUUACCAAGGCGACGAUGCGUAGCCGACCUGAGAGGGUGAUCGGCCACACUGGAGCUGAGACACGGUCCAGACUCCUACGGGAGGCAGCAGUAGGGAAUCUUCCGCAAUGGGCGAAAGCCUGACGGAGCAACGCCGCGUGAGUGAUGAAGGUCUUCGGAUCGUAAAACUCUGUUAUUAGGGAAGAACAAAUGUGUAAGUAACUAUGCACGUCUUGACGGUACCUAAUCAGAAAGCCACGGCUAACUACGUG
RNAcentral lists this ribosomal RNA (497 nucleotides) under uncultured bacterium. RNAcentral's name for it is "partial 16S ribosomal RNA". It matches the Rfam family "Bacterial small subunit ribosomal RNA", at positions 28 to 507 of the family's 1533-position model. The record is from RNAcentral.